CCUACGGGUGGCAGCAGUGAGGAAUAUUGGUCAAUGGACGAGAGUCUGAACCAGCCAAGUAGCGUGAAGGAUGACUGCCCUAUGGGUUGUAAACUUCUUUUAUAUGGGAAUAAAAUGUUCCACGUGUGGGGUUUUGUAUGUACCGUAUGAAUAAGGAUCGGCUAACUCCGUGCCAGCAGCCGCGGUAAUACGGAGGAUCCGAGCGUUAUCCGGAUUUAUUGGGUUUAAAGGGAGCGUAGAUGGGUUGUUAAGUCAGUUGUGAAAGUUUGCGGCUCAACCGUAAAAUUGCAAUUGAUACUGGCAGCCUUGAGUACAGAUGAGGUAGGCGGAAUGCGUGGUGUAGCGGUGAAAUGCUUAGAUAUCACGAAGAACUCCGAUUGCGAAGGCAGCUUACUAAUCUGCCACUGACAUUGAUGCUCGAAAGUGUGGGUAGCAAACAGGAUUAGAUACCCCUGUAGUC
Molecule: ribosomal RNA, 460 nt
Filed under: uncultured bacterium
Lineage: Bacteria
Description: partial 16S ribosomal RNA
Rfam family: Bacterial small subunit ribosomal RNA
Source: RNAcentral